Molecule: RNase P RNA, 382 nt
Filed under: Neolewinella agarilytica
Lineage: Bacteria; Pseudomonadati; Bacteroidota; Saprospiria; Saprospirales; Lewinellaceae
Description: Lewinella agarilytica Bacterial RNase P class A
Rfam family: Bacterial RNase P class A
About the family: Ribonuclease P (RNase P) is a ubiquitous endoribonuclease, found in archaea, bacteria and eukarya as well as chloroplasts and mitochondria.
Source: RNAcentral
ACUCCACCGCUUGCGGCCCCUUAGGGGAGACCGCAAGAGGAAAGUCCGGGCAGCGCAGGGCACCACGCCGGCUAACGGCCGGGGCCUCCCGAAUGGGGGAGGUACGGAAAGUGCCACAGAAAGCUAAACCGCCUUUCCCUUCGGGGAAGGGUAAGGGUGAAAACGUGCGGUAAGAGCGCACGACGUUGCGUGGUAACACGGAGCGUGGGUAAACCCCGUGGGUUGAAAUACCGAGCAGUAUUGUUGCCGCUUGCGGCAGCCGGCGGUCCGUCGGUUCUUUCGGGAGCAAUGCGGGUAGGUAGAUAGAGCCCGGUAGCAAUGCCGGGCCUGGAUAAAUGGUGGAGCUCACCGCCUUCGGGCGGUGAUGACAGAACCCGGCUUA